This is a long non-coding RNA of Amphiprion ocellaris (clown anemonefish), 2259 nucleotides long. RefSeq lists it as uncharacterized. The record is from RefSeq and is a predicted model, not a curated record. Lineage: Eukaryota; Metazoa; Chordata; Actinopteri; Pomacentridae. The transcript is spliced from 2 exons.
GUGCCUCUGCCUCAGACCACCAGGCUACAGCUGCCUGAGAGAGCAUUGGGAAAAUCACCCAGACUUGCCGGAGAUCAUGGCUCUUCAAGGAAGGUUGACAGAGGAGGAAGGAACAGGAGAGAGGGACGAUGAGGAGGACGGCGAAUCUAGCACAGAGCCAGAGGAAGAGAAAGACCGGGAUGCAGAUGAUGAUGAGGACGGAGAUGGGGAUGAUGAAGAUGAGGGGUUUGGACAUCCGAGACGGAAGGACGAUGAACCAUCUGGUUUCACCGUCAACAUGUACAAUGUCCUUCGGGAAAAUGAGUGUGAGUGAUCCCAGAGGGAAAGGCAAGCAGAAAGAAACAAGUUGUUCCUCUUUACUGACUUUUGCUCAUCUGCUCCAGUGCACCUUGCAUUCCUUGAUUGUCCUAAAGCUGCUUUCCUUCUCAUUUUUUGUCAUGUCUCCACUCCUCAUUUCAUUGAAUAACUUUUAAAAUCUGUUUCCUUCUCCCUAUAAUAUACAGAGCAAUUUUACGUGUUUCAUGCUGUGCCUCUGCUCUGCUUGUUCAUCCAAGAAGCUUAUUCUUCAUCCUCGCUUCUAGAAAUAGGUUUGGUUUAGUUUUGGUUUGAUUUGAUUUGAUCUUUAUAUUUUGCAUGUAGUUCUCAGAGAUAAAUUAACCAAUACCAGCCUGAAAUAAUUAUCCAGGCAAUCAGUCUUUUCAUUAAAAAGUGACCUCACAGCUGAGAUGCCAAAGUUCAGGAAAGGAUGAUAAAACAAUCAGAAUCACUGUUGAUAUGAUGUCAUUCACUGGAGCAACCAUUUGGCUCUCAGAUCAGUUCGAGAUUUAAGAACAUGACUUUAAAUCUUCUUUAUAGACCAUAGCAUGUCUCAGCUCUGGUUUGUGGGUUUGGGGUGGAAUAUGGGAUAUACUAGACUGAUAAAACCAACAUGUUACACACAGUUUUGCAGUAUUGUGACGCUGUGUGAGGAUCAUUUAUCUGAAUUUGGAUUUGAUUUAGAUUAUACUGUGUCUAACAAUGAUACUGUGCUUGGAGGAUUUUUUGGGGAUGAUAGAAGAGAAAUGGGUGUUCAAUUCUGUAUUGUUGGACGAGGCUGUUUCAGGAAUUAAACUUGUAGUGUUUUAACUACUACAACAGCUUUUGCUAGGUUCUGUUAGGGAUUUUACAUAUUCAGUUCAGGAUUUGGCUGCACUCAUUCAGUAUGUUUAUAUGCUCAUGACAGCACAGUGGGUCUAAUUUGACUAAGACUGCAUGAAAAUCAGUUGUAGGGACAAUUUGACUUUUUUCAAGGUAUGCGUGUUCAGUUUCUUGCUGAAAGUUAAAUAAAAACAUUGCUUGCAUUGUUUCAUAUAGUAAACAUGGAACUAUGGCUAGCUGCUAGUUAGCAUAGCUAUUAAAGACCAGAAAGAGAUAACCUGACUGUCAAAUGUAAACAAAAUCAAACUGACAGCACCUUUAAAACUAACAUUUUAAAUCUAGUCUGCUUACUUUGUGCUGAAAUCAGAUAAAGCAGCAAGCUAUGGUUUAAGUUUUUUCUUCAUUUAUUUGUUCCCUGAGCAGUGAAUUCCUGGACUUUAAUACAACCAACAGAGAGUCAGGGAAGUGACUCAUCUCUUUUGAGAAACUUUUUUUUUACUUUAAUAUUUUCUACAGCUUAAAUAAACAGGUCUAUACUGGUGUGUAUUACAUUUGGCCAGGCUAGCUGGUUCCAGCAGUUUCCAUUCUGCACUAAGCUAAACAGCUGAUGAAACAUGAUUAAGUGAAUUUCCCAAAAGGAAAACUAAUUUUUUCAUCACUCAGAAAGAGAAACUGGCCACUACAGCUUUUAUUGCUUCUAGAUAAUAUUUCUUUCUCUGCUGUUUGACCAGCCUCUCCCUUUGUUUUUCGGUGAUGUGUGAUGCGUGCUGUAUUAUUGUGUGCUGUUGUACCUCUUUCAUGUGUUCACCAAGGGAACGUUAACAGCACAGUGCUGUGUUACUGUGUAAUACAUCACACUGCGACCACAUGUGGUAUUUCCACCAUUAGUACAAUGAAAGCUGAUACUGAACACUACCAUGCUGUUAAAAACACAACAGGGUUCUAGUUGCGUUGGUAUGAAUUUUUUCUGGCAAUAUUAAAACUGACAGCGUAUGGAGUUUAUAAUAUCAGUGUAAAGGCUCAAGGUGUGUGCAGGCUACUUGCUCAUUCCUUUAUUUCAUUCCUAGUAUGCCUAAUGGUGACUGGACUGCUUUCUGCAAUAAAAGGAGAUAAUUCUGUGAA